RNAcentral lists this ribosomal RNA (467 nucleotides) under uncultured bacterium. RNAcentral's name for it is "partial 16S ribosomal RNA". It matches the Rfam family "Bacterial small subunit ribosomal RNA", at positions 28 to 507 of the family's 1533-position model. The record is from RNAcentral.
GACGAACGCUGGCGGCGUGCUUAACACAUGCAAGUCGAACGGAAGGGCCUCUUUCGGGGGGUACUCGAGUGGCGAACGGGUGAGUAACACGUGAGUAACCUGCCCUUGACUUUGGGAUAACUUCAGGAAACUGGGGCUAAUACCGGAUAGGAGCUCCUGCUGCAUGGUGGGGGUUGGAAAGUUUCGGCGGUUGGGGAUGGGCUCGCGGCUUAUCAGCUUGUUGGUGGGGUAGUGGCUUACCAAGGCUUUGACGGGUAGCCGGCCUGAGAGGGUGACCGGCCACAUUGGGACUGAGAUACGGCCCAGACUCCUACGGGAGGCAGCAGUGGGGAAUAUUGCACAAUGGGUGGAAGCCUGAUGCAGCAACGCCGUGUGCGGGAUGACGGCCUUCGGGUUGUAAACCGCUUUCGCUCAUGACGAAGCUUUGUGUGACGGUAGUGGGUAAAGAAGCACCGGCUAACUACGUG